CAGCAGCCACGGGAAUACGUAGGUGGCAAGCGUUGUCCGGAAUUAUUGGGCGUAAAGGGAGCGCAGGCGGACAUAUAAGUCCAUCUUAAAAGUGCGGGGCUCAACCCCGUGAGGGGAUGGAAACUGUAUGCCUUGAGUGCAGGAGAGGAAAGCGGAAUUCCCAGUGUAGCGGUGAAAUGCGUAGAUAUUGGGAGGAACACCAGUGGCGAAGGCGGCUUUCUGGACUGCAACUGACGCUGAGGCUCGAAAGCCAGGGGAGCGAACGGGAUUAGAUACCCCAGUAGUCCCUGUCUCUUAUACA
This 301-nucleotide ribosomal RNA is filed under the name uncultured bacterium. Its description in RNAcentral is "partial 16S ribosomal RNA". It matches the Rfam family "Bacterial small subunit ribosomal RNA", at positions 509 to 809 of the family's 1533-position model. The record is from RNAcentral.